UUGACCUAACGGCAGGAAGGAGGAAGUGAACUGAGCAUGCGCCAUGCGCCGCAGCUCCUUUCUGUUCCUGAGAAUGGACACAGGUGCCCAGCCACCUCCCACUCCUGCCCUGUGACUUCUCCACUGGCUGGCCUUGAAUUCAAGACUCCCCCGUGUCAGCUUACCAGUGGCGGGGACGACAGGCUCAUGGCACCUCAUCCGGCUCAAUCCUUUGCGUCGAACACGCAAAAGCUGGCGUGAGGGGCAGAACUCAGACGCUUCCCUCUGCCGUUCCCUGUGCCCAGUGGAUAAUCUCCAGAGACGAGUAGUCAGCUUUGUUGUCCCUCCUGCAGCCUCUCCACCUGCCCGUUUCCCAUCAAGAAAGUGUGUACAUGUUUAAAACCUUUUAUUGCAAAUAAUACACAUGUGAAAA
Mus musculus (house mouse) is the source of this 412-nucleotide long non-coding RNA. RefSeq annotates it as predicted gene, 38964. The transcript is spliced from 2 exons. The record is from RefSeq and is a predicted model, not a curated record. NCBI's taxonomy places the organism in Eukaryota, Metazoa, Chordata, Mammalia, Rodentia, Muridae.